This 468-nucleotide ribosomal RNA is filed under the name uncultured bacterium. RNAcentral's name for it is "partial 16S ribosomal RNA". It matches the Rfam family "Bacterial small subunit ribosomal RNA", at positions 28 to 507 of the family's 1533-position model. The record is from RNAcentral.
GACGAACGCUGGCGGCGUGCUUAACACAUGCAAGUCGAACGGAAAGGCCCUGCUUUUGUGGGGUGCUCGAGUGGCGAACGGGUGAGUAACACGUGAGUAACCUGCCCUUGACUUUGGGAUAACUUCAGGAAACUGGGGCUAAUACCGGAUAGGAGCUCAUGCUGCAUGGUGGGGGUUGGAAAGUUUCGGCGGUUGGGGAUGGACUCGCGGCUUAUCAGCUUGUUGGUGGGGUAGUGGCUUACCAAGGCUUUGACGGGUAGCCGGCCUGAGAGGGUGAACGGCCAGAUUGCGACGGGGAUGCGGCCCAGACUCCUCCGCGAGGCAGCGGCGGGGAAUAUUAUACUGUGGGCGGAAGCCUGAUGCAGCGACGCCGCGUGCGGGAUGACGGCCUUCGGGUUGUAAACCGCUUUCGCCUGUGACGAAGCGUGAGUGACGGUAAUUGGUAAAGAAGCACCGGCUAACUACGUG